GCCAGGAGUGCAAGUACCGAGAGGUAUUGAGCUGACUGGUGCUCAUCAGUCGAGGUCUUGAUCGCC
This 66-nucleotide ribosomal RNA is filed under the name Deinococcus yavapaiensis KR-236. RNAcentral's name for it is "partial 23S ribosomal RNA". The record is from RNAcentral. Lineage: Bacteria; Thermotogati; Deinococcota; Deinococci; Deinococcales; Deinococcaceae.